Molecule: ribosomal RNA, 539 nt
Filed under: uncultured Mycobacterium sp.
Lineage: Bacteria; Bacillati; Actinomycetota; Actinomycetes; Mycobacteriales; Mycobacteriaceae
Description: bacterial SSU rRNA
Rfam family: Bacterial small subunit ribosomal RNA
Source: RNAcentral
CAUGCAAGUCGAACGUAAAGGCCCUUUCGGGGGUGCUCGAGUGGCGAACGGGUGAGUAACACGUGGGUGAUCUGCCCUGCACUUUGGGAUAAGCCUGGGAAACUGGGUCUAAUACCGAAUACACCUUGCUGGCUGCAUGGUCUGGUGAGGGAAAGCUUUUGCGGUGUGGGAUGGGCCCGCGGCCUAUCAGCUUGUUGGUGGGGUGAUGGCCUACCAAGGCGACGACGGGUAGCCGGCCUGAGAGGGUGUCCGGCCACACUGGGACUGAGAUACGGCCCAGACUCCUACGGGAGGCAGCAGUGGGGAAUAUUGCACAAUGGGCGCAAGCCUGAUGCAGCGACGCCGCGUGAGGGAUGACGGCCUUCGGGUUGUAAACCUCUUUCAGUACCGACGAAGCGCGAGUGACGGUAGGUACAGAAGAAGCACCGGCCAACUACGUGCCAGCAGCCGCGGUAAUACGUAGGGUGCGAGCGUUGUCCGGAAUUACUGGGCGUAAAGAGCUCGUAGGUGGUUUGUCGCGUUGUUCGUGAAAACUCACA